UACGGAGGAUUCGAGCGUUAUCCGGAUUUAUUGGGUUUAAAGGGAGCGUAGGCGGGUUGUUAAGUCAGUUGUGAAAGUUAGCGGCUCAACCGUAAAAUUGCAGUUGAUACUGGCAUCCUUGAGUACAGUAGAGGUAGGCGGAAUUCGUGGUGUAGCGGUGAAAUGCUUAGAUAUCACGAAGAACUCCGAUUGCGAAGGCAGCCUGCUGGACUGUAACUGACGCUGAUGCUCGAAAGUGUGGGUAUCAAACAGG
Molecule: ribosomal RNA, 253 nt
Filed under: uncultured bacterium
Lineage: Bacteria
Description: partial 16S ribosomal RNA
Rfam family: Bacterial small subunit ribosomal RNA
Source: RNAcentral